This 449-nucleotide ribosomal RNA is filed under the name uncultured bacterium. RNAcentral's name for it is "bacterial SSU rRNA". It matches the Rfam family "Bacterial small subunit ribosomal RNA", at positions 329 to 795 of the family's 1533-position model. The record is from RNAcentral.
UUCCAGACUCCUACGGGAGGCAGCAGUCGGGAAUAUUGCGCAAUGGAGGAAACUCUGACGCAGUGACGCCGUGUAUAGGAAGAAGGUUUUCGGAUUGUAAACUAUUGUCGUGAGGGAAGAAAUUGACAGUACCUCAGGAGGAAGCUCCGGCUAACUACGUGCCAGCAGCCGCGGUAAUACGUAGGUGACAAGCGUUGUCCGGAUUUACUGGGUGUAAAGGGCGCGUAGGCGGACUGUCAAGUCAGUCGUGAAAUACCGGGGCUUAAUCCCGGGGCUGCGAUUGAAACUGACAGCCUUGAGUAUCGGAGAGGAAAGCGGAAUUCCUAGUGUAGCGGUGAAAUGCGUAGAUAUUAGGAGGAACACCAGUGGCGAAGGCGGCGUUCUGGACGACAACUGACGCUGAGGCGCGAAAGUGUGGGGAGCAAACAGGAUUAGAUACCCCCGUAAUA